Molecule: ribosomal RNA, 492 nt
Filed under: uncultured bacterium
Lineage: Bacteria
Description: partial 16S ribosomal RNA
Rfam family: Bacterial small subunit ribosomal RNA
Source: RNAcentral
AGUGAACGCUGGCGGUAGGCCUAACACAUGCAAGUCGAACGGCAGCACAGUAAGAGCUUGCUCUUACGGGUGGCGAGUGGCGGACGGGUGAGGAAUACAUCGGAAUCUACUUUUUCGUGGGGGAUAACGUAGGGAAACUUACGCUAAUACCGCAUACGACCUACGGGGGAAAGCAGGGGAUCUUCGGACCUUGCGCGAGUGAAGGAGCCGAUGUCGGAUUAGCUAGUUGGCGGGGUAAAGGCCCACCAAGGCGACGAUCCGUAGCUGGUCUGAGAGGAUGAUCAGCCACACUGGAACUGAGACACGGUCCAGACUCCUACGGGAGGCAGCAGUGGGGAAUAUUGGACAAUGGGCGCAAGCCUGAUCCAGCCAUACCGCGUGGGUGAAGAAGGCCUUCGGGUUGUAAAGCCCUUUUGUUGGGAAAGAAAAGCAGCAGGUUAAUACCCCGCUGUUCUGACGGUACCCAAAGAAUAAGCACCGGCUAACUUCGUG